Molecule: RNase P RNA, 251 nt
Filed under: Enterococcus faecium
Lineage: Bacteria; Bacillati; Bacillota; Bacilli; Lactobacillales; Enterococcaceae
Description: partial RNase P RNA component class B
Rfam family: Bacterial RNase P class B
About the family: Ribonuclease P (RNase P) is a ubiquitous endoribonuclease, found in archaea, bacteria and eukarya as well as chloroplasts and mitochondria. Its best characterised activity is the generation of mature 5'-ends of tRNAs by cleaving the 5'-leader elements of precursor-tRNAs.
Source: RNAcentral
GUUUUCGGGUAAUCGCGGUCUGACUUGAUCAGGCUGAGGAAAGUCCAUGCUCGCACAGGCUGUGAUGCCUGUAGUGUUCGUGCUUAGCGAAACCAUAAGCUAAGGUACUCUUUGGAGUAACGGCAGGAAAACAAGCUAAGGCUUCGGCUAUGCUUAAGUAUCCUUGAAAGUGCCACAGUGACGAAGCGGCUGGGGAAACCCAUCCGGUGGAACGCGGUAAACCCCUCGAGCGAGCAACCCAAACAAUGGUA